GUGACCACUGUGGGUUUUUCUUUCACUAACAGAGGGGUACCAACAAUUUUGUCCACGUGUUUCAACCAGCAAGUAGGAAGACACACAAUCGAGUACAAUCUAACUCUUCUUCCUCAGCCAAACAAGAGUCACAUGUCUUCUGGAAGCAUGACUUUAAAUGUCAUGGCAAUCUGCUGAAGGAACAAAUCUUGCCUUGUAGCAGCAGAGUACACAGCAAAAAAGAAGUCAUGUGCAACUGAAGACAUCGCCUGUGGUGCAACAAUAAUAAUGGCAAAGGGGUUGGGUUGCAGCGGCCAGGAAGUGGACGGGCCAUUCGGGAAACUCUCAAAAUUCCAGAUGGCCACCACGCCUGUGGAUUCGUUGGAUUCAUCUGUCUGCUGCCAUCGGGGAUUCGUGUGCAGUUUGCAUCAUGUUCAAAUUGGCCAACCUUCUUUCUUCAAUUUUA
This is a long non-coding RNA of Hippocampus comes (tiger tail seahorse), 445 nucleotides long. RefSeq lists it as uncharacterized. The record is from RefSeq and is a predicted model, not a curated record. The transcript has 3 exons. Lineage: Eukaryota; Metazoa; Chordata; Actinopteri; Syngnathiformes; Syngnathidae.